Non-coding RNA from Styela clava, 190 nucleotides. The record is from RefSeq and is a predicted model, not a curated record. Lineage: Eukaryota; Metazoa; Chordata; Ascidiacea; Stolidobranchia; Styelidae.
GGAACUACUAACCAAUGUCAGAGUUCUUUUCAUUUUUUUCCUUUUAACUACGUUUACAGAAUUGACUACUGAUGCUCAAACAUCGCCAAUACCGAUUACAGAAUUGACUACUGGUGCUCAAACCUCGCCAAUACCGAGCUCUACCAUGACUACUACUAUGACAUCCACAAGUAUGGCAUCCACAUCCACU